AUUUCAUCACCAAAAGUCCAAACACACUACUUACAGGCACCCCAUUCCUUGCCAAAGAAGUUAACAUUAUAGUAUAUCAGAAAGUGCUAUUUUCACUGCAACAAAGAUUGUAAGGCAUCCUACAGGGCUGCUCUUUUGCAGAUCAUUUGA
RNAcentral lists this long non-coding RNA (150 nucleotides) under Monodelphis domestica (gray short-tailed opossum). RNAcentral describes it as "lncRNA (ENSMODG00000033655.2)". Lineage: Eukaryota; Metazoa; Chordata; Mammalia; Didelphimorphia; Didelphidae. The record is from RNAcentral.